RNAcentral lists this transfer RNA (87 nucleotides) under Candidatus Kryptoniota bacterium. RNAcentral's name for it is "Candidatus Kryptonia bacterium (hot springs metagenome) tRNA-Leu". It matches the Rfam family "tRNA". From Rfam's summary of the family: Transfer RNA (tRNA) molecules are approximately 80 nucleotides in length. Their secondary structure includes four short double-helical elements and three loops (D, anti-codon, and T loops). The record is from RNAcentral. Lineage: Bacteria; Pseudomonadati; Candidatus Kryptoniota.
GCCCGGGUGGCGGAAUUGGCAGACGCGCUAGAUUCAGGGUCUAGUGGGAGCAAUCUCGUGCAGGUUCGAGCCCUGUCCCGGGCACCA